GUAGGUGGCAAGCGUUGUCCGGAUUUACUGGGCGUAAAGAGCGCGCAGGCGGUCGUUCAAGUCGCGUGUGAAAGCCCCCGGCUCAACUGGGGAGGGUCACGCGAUACUGAUCGACUCGAAGGCAGGAGAGGGAAGUGGAAUUCCCGGUGUAGCGGUGAAAUGCGCAGAUAUCCGAAGGAACACCGGUGGCGAAGGCGGCUUCCUGGACCGACACUGACGCUGAGGCGCGAAAGCUAGGGGAGCAAACGGGAUUAGAUACCCCGGUAGUCCUAGCCCUAAACGAUGAGAACUGGGUGUAGGGGGUAUGAACCCCCCCUGUGCCGAAGCUAACGCAUUAAGUUCUCCGCCUGGGGAGUACGGUCGCAAGGCUG
Molecule: ribosomal RNA, 371 nt
Filed under: uncultured bacterium
Lineage: Bacteria
Description: bacterial SSU rRNA
Rfam family: Bacterial small subunit ribosomal RNA
Source: RNAcentral